This 721-nucleotide long non-coding RNA is filed under the name Helianthus annuus (common sunflower). RNAcentral's name for it is "hypothetical non coding rna". Lineage: Eukaryota; Viridiplantae; Streptophyta; Magnoliopsida; Asterales; Asteraceae. The record is from RNAcentral.
CUCGUCAGUUACGAAGCUGGACUGAAACUGCCCUGUCAUUCAAUGCUGGAAGCUUCUGCGCGCGCGCGCGCCCAUGCGCGGUGCGCCAUGCGGCGUGCGGCCUCUUGGCUCACUGUCGUGCGGCGUGCGGCCUCUUGGCUCACUGCCGUGCGGCGUGCGGCCUCUUGGCUCACUGCCAUGCGGCGGUGCGGCCUCUUGGCUCACUGCCGUGCGCGGUGCGGCGGUGCGGCUCAAGUCCGUCCAUGCGGCGUGCGGCGGUGCAGCUCAAGUCCGUCCAUGCGGCGUGCGGCGGUGCAGCUCAAGUCCGUCCAUGCGGCGGUGCGGCGUGCGCCACGUCACCUUGUGAGUCUAUACAUGCGCGCCACACAGUCGCGCCGUAUUGGCUCACUCUGGUGCGCCGCGCACGGCACAGCAGAACCCAUGCACCAUGCGCCCAACCGCGCGCCUCGUGUACCCGCGCGCGCAUGCGCAUGACUGCCACGUCAUGCGCCGCAUCACCUACCACUUGGUCCUUGCAACCCUUGUGCUUCACCACGCGCGCGCGGUCAAAAAUACAAAGGCGGCUCUCGGCGAUGCGAGCGUGCGAAGUGCAAAGUGCGCCAUCAAAGCGCCACAUUGCGCCUCAUCGCCCACGCCACGCGCGCGCGCGCGAGCGAGCGUGUGCGAGUGCGAGUGCGAGUGCGAGUUAGGGUGCUCCGCACCCUUCGCGAGGACACUAGAG